CCGGGCGUGGUGGUGGGCGCCUGUAGUCCCAGCUACUCAGGAGGCUGAGGCAGAAUUGCUUGAACCCGGGAGGUGGAGGUUGCCAUGAGCUGAGGUUGUGCCACUGCACUCCAGCCUGGGCAACAGAGCAAGACUCCAUCAAAAGAAAGAAAGAGAGAGAGAGAAGAAACAAAGGGGGCAGGUUAGAUAGACUCAGGUGACUGAACUCCCACCCUGUGGGAUCUGACACUAUCUCCAGGUAGAUCAUGUUGGAAUUGGAGGGCACCCAGCCCGCGUCUGCUGCUUGGUGUGUGGUGAAAAAACCUACACCUCUGGUCAUGGAAGUCUUCUUCUGCGUUGAUAUUACUGUGGUGGUAUGAGAGCAGAGGAAAAACACAGUUUGAGAGAGCUUUUCCCGAAACACAAACAGAAAUUGCCAGCCCCGCUGUACAGAAGAGCAGUAUGUACAGAAUGCUAUGUGUCCAUCAAAAGAAGAGUGACUAACCAAAUUAUAGUAUCUCUGUAAAAUAGAAUGCUAUUCAGCAAUAAAAAUAGCAAAUUCUUGAUAUAUACAAAAAUAUAGAGGAUAUCUCAGAAAAUUAUGUUGAGUGAAAGACGCCAGACACAAAAGAGUACAUUUUGUGUUACUCUACGUAUAUGAAGUUCAAAAACAAGUGAAACUGGCCAGGCGCAGUGGCUCAUGCCUGUAAUCUCAGCACUUUAGGAGGUCAAGGCGGGCGGAUCACCUGAGGUCAGGAGUUUGAGACCAGCCUGGCCAACAUGGUGAAACCCCAUCUCUACUAAAAAUACAAAAAUUAGCCGGGUGUGGUGGCGCAUGCCUGUAGUCCCAGCUAUUUGGUAGGCUGAGGCCAAGGAAUCACCUGAACCUGGGAGGCAGAGGUUGCAGUGAGCUGAGAUUGUGCCACUGCACUCCAGCGUGGGUGACAAAGGCUCCGUUUAAAAAAAAAAUAAAAAACAAAAAAAACCCACAACAACAAAUGAAACUGAUCUAUGGCAAUAGAAGUGGGAACUAGCGGUUGCCCCUGUGGAUGAUCUGGAAGGGAGACGGAACCAGCAGGGAAGGAAAUGUUUUAUAUCUUGAUUGGGGUGGAGCUUACACAAGUGUACACAUUUGGUAAAAUUCAUCCAGCUGUACACUUUGAAUCUGUGCGUUUUAUUGUAUGUAAAUUGUUCCUUGAUUUUAAAGGAAAGUGUAAAGAGAUCACAGUGGAAAAGGUUAUUUGCUUUUCUGGGCCUAAUCAGGAAAGACUUCCCAAAGGAAGUGACAUUUGAGCAGGAUCUUGAAGGAGGAAUAGGACAUUUUCUGGUUGGAGCUAAAAACAAGAACUAAAAUGUGGAGGUUGAGAGUCAACGUGCAUCUCAGUAGAGGAGACCUCACGGAUGUGUUUGAGAAUGUCUGAGAAAGGAGGGUUGGGAAUGGUGUGUGCAAGGAAAAUAAAAAUCUUGGGACCCCAAACUUACUGUGCCAAAGGGAAAAGUUCAGUUUGGGAACUGAGUCAUGCAAAAACUGCCUUCCAUUUUGUUUCUAAAUAGCUAGCUGCAAAAAUAGAGGGCCAAGUCCCUCCCCAGGAAGAGCCCCCCUCCACAUAAUUUGCUUACAAGGAAAUUCCUUGUAGGCCCCAAGAUAUUUACCCUGAAACAAUUCUGUUGGAUUUCCCCCGACAAUGUAAAUUAACAGCAUAUCUUCACAGGUAUGGGAGAAAGACAGAAGUCAUCCCUUCACUCACCUGAGACAAAUGCAUAUUUGACUGCUUCCUCUACUCGGUGUUUAUCUUACAGAAAAAUGCAGAUUCUCGGAGCACAAGAUGAAUGCAUAAUUGACUGUUCCUCUACCCCCUCCUUUCAUGAGUAAAAUGCAGACUUAGUGAGCACGAAUCAAAGCCUAAUCAAAGUCUUGAGAUAAUGUAACCUCUUGCCUUUUUUAUCUACUUUCCUUUUUUUUUUUUUUUUUUUUUUUUUUUUUUGAGAUGGAGUCUCACUCUGUCACUCAGGCUAGAGUGCAGUGGUGCGAUCUCGGCUCACUGCAACCUCCACUUCCCGGGUUCAAGCGAUUCUCCUGCCUCAGCCUCCCGAGUAGCUGGGACUACAGGUGCGUGCCCACCACGCCCAGCUAAUUUUUUGUAUUUUUAGUAGAGAUGGGCUUUCACCGUUAUUAGCCAGGAUGGUCUCGAUCUCCUGACCUCGUGAUCUGCCCGCCUCGGCCUCCCAAAGUGCUGGGAUUGCGGGCGUGACUGUGCCCAGCCCCCCUCCUCCCUUUUCUUUCUUUCCUCUUUCCCCUAUGGUCUCUUCUUUCCCUUUAAAUAUUGAAGUCCUAAAACCCUCUUUGGAAAAAGCAUGGAUCACAGACUUCCUGUGAUUUGUGUUCCUUUUUCCUAGGUGCAUCCUCGACCUUGACAAAAUAAACCUCUCAAUUGAGGCUUGCCUCGGUCUUUUUCUUUGGUUUACAGGUGGGAGACAGAAAAAAGUGGUUGGGAUCAGAUUACAAAAGACCUUGAAUAAUAUCCACUUUCUACCAAGGACAAAGAGAAAUCAUGAAAGUGCUUAGAUUAUGGUUUUGUCUGAUUACAUAAAUAAUGCAUGCCUAUUUUUUUGAAAAAUGCAAAUAAUUGUGUAUAAAGCAGAAAGUCCCCCCAUAAUCCUAGCUCCCAAAAUAGUCACUUUUAACAAUUUAGUGUUAGGCUAAACAAUUAUCUUUAGCUAACAAUUUAUUUUCCAGACAUUAUGUAUAUUCAUAUGUAUUUUUAUACUCAUUUUUAAAUUUUUAAUAAAAUGUAUUAAUAGGAUUCUAUAUUAUAUGCUGUACAAGGCCCAGCAUCAUGCCUAUUUUCAUUCUUAAAUUUUCAGUAUCUAGCACAAUGUCUGGCAUAAGAAAUACUUGUUGGAUGAAAGAAUUAUCUUUUAUUCUUGCUUUUGUUUUCUAGCACAUCCUGGAUAUCCUCAUUCUUUUCAGUGGCUAUACAAUGUCCUGCUGCUUGAUGCAAUGCCCUAUUGAUAGGCACUUGCUGCAAAUUCCUUACUGUUACAAGACUAUUACAAGAUCCAUGUGUACUUGGAUGUAUUUCUGUGAUACUGUGAAAUAUAUAUUUGAUCUUCAUCUCUGUUUCCUGGCAAACAAUUCCUAAAACCUUAGAAUCUCCAAAGAGAUGUCUUUUUGUACAUGAUGACUGACUGAAAGCUAGCAGUCCCUAGGCAGCUUCAGGAUGGGGCUGGUCUCCAGAAAGCCCAUGGCAGGAUUACAGGGUUGGGUCUUUGAUUACUACCCCUAACCUCUCGGAAGGAGAGGAGGCUCAAGAUUAAGUUGACAGCCAAUGGCCAAAGGUUUAAUCAAUCAUGCCUAUGUAAUGAAGUCUCCAUAAAAGAUUCAAGAGGACAGAGUUUGGGAAGCUUCUCAAUAGUGGACCGUGUGGAGGUUCUUGGAGGGUGGCACACCAGAGAGGACAUGAAAGCUCUGUGUCGCUUCCACCACACCUCGCCUUAUGAAUCUCUGCAUCUGUAUCUCGCUUCCACCACACCUCGCCUUAUGAAUCUCUGCAUCUGUAUCCUUUAUAAUACACUUUAUAAUAAACCAGCAAAUGUGUUUCCCUGAGUUCUGUGAGCCACUCCAGCAAAUUAAUUGAACCCCAAAGCAGGGUUGUGGGAACCCCAACUUGAAGUUGGUCAGUCUGAAGUUCAGGAGGCCUGGAUAUGCAACUGGUGUCUGAAGGGAGCGUGGUUUUGGGGACUGAGCCCUGAACCUGUGGGAUCUGAUGCUAUCUCCAGGCAGACAGUGUUGGAAUUGAAUUAGAGGACACCCAGCCGGUGUCUGCAGCAGAACUGAUUGCUUGCUUGUUCAGAGAAUAGAAAAAACUGUGAGUUUGUGGUCUUUUUCCUCUGACACACCAUUUCUAUGGGACAAAUUCCUAGAAGAGGAAUUUGCUGGUUCAAAAUAUGCACAUCUCAAAACUGCAUAAAUGUAACAGAUUCUGCUAAAUUACCACCCGAGGGUUGUACUAAUAUCCUUUUUCAUAAUAUGUCGUUUCUACCAUAUGCUCAACAAUCCUUGUUAUUAUCAAUCCUUUUCACCCUUGAUAAUCUGAUAGUCCAAAAUUAUUUUCUUGUUUUGCUUUUAUUAUUCGUGGUUUAGCAUUUUGUUUUAUGUUUAUUGACUGUUUGCAUUUUUUCUGUGAAUUAUCUGUUUAUAUGCUUUGAUCUCUUUUUACUGUAUCAUUAAUUUUUUUAAUUAUAGAAGCUUUUUAUAUAUUAUAGGUGACAAUUCUAUAUAUGUCAAAAAUAUUUCUCCCCGUCUUCUUUGUUUAGAAUGUCUUUUGCACUGCAGUUUUAAAGUUGUAUGUAGUCAAAUCUGUUUUCUUUCCUCUUUGUAGUUUGUAGCCUAAGUGAAAUGUAGAGAAAAG
RNAcentral lists this long non-coding RNA (4391 nucleotides) under Homo sapiens (human). Its description in RNAcentral is "HSALNT0221299". The record is from RNAcentral. Lineage: Eukaryota; Metazoa; Chordata; Mammalia; Primates; Hominidae.